UACGUAGGGGGCAAGCGUUAUCCGGAUUUACUGGGUGUAAAGGGAGCGUAGACGGCAGCGCAAGUCUGGAGUGAAAUGCCGGGGCCCAACCCCGGAACUGCUCUGGAAACUGUGGAGCUGGAGUGCAGGAGAGGUAAGCGGAAUUCCUGGUGUAGCGGUGAAAUGCGUAGAUAUCAGGAGGAACACCAGUGGCGAAGGCGGCCUGCUGGGCUUUUACUGACGCUGAGGCUCGAAAGUGUGGGGAGCAAACAGG
This 253-nucleotide ribosomal RNA is filed under the name uncultured Eubacteriales bacterium. Its description in RNAcentral is "uncultured Clostridiales bacterium partial 16S ribosomal RNA". It matches the Rfam family "Bacterial small subunit ribosomal RNA", at positions 524 to 776 of the family's 1533-position model. The record is from RNAcentral. Lineage: Bacteria; Bacillati; Bacillota; Clostridia; Eubacteriales.